Molecule: transfer RNA, 72 nt
Filed under: Spirochaetaceae bacterium
Lineage: Bacteria; Pseudomonadati; Spirochaetota; Spirochaetia; Spirochaetales; Spirochaetaceae
Description: tRNA-Gly
Rfam family: tRNA
About the family: Transfer RNA (tRNA) molecules are approximately 80 nucleotides in length. Their secondary structure includes four short double-helical elements and three loops (D, anti-codon, and T loops).
Source: RNAcentral
GCGGGAAUAGCUCAGUGGUAGAGCACCACGUUGCCAACGUGGAAGUCGCGGGUUCAAGUCCCGUUUCCCGCU